AGAUACAUGGAGAUAUUAAUGAGAGAGAGGGAAUUGGAAGCAGAAGUCGAAUGUUUAAGGGGUUCCCUGGCGAGGGUCGAAGCCGAAAGUCCAAGGUCGGAGGGAGCCGGGCCCCUUUAGGGCUCUUUUUGUCCUUCCAUCUUCCCAUGUAUAUAUUUUUUCUUUUGUUGUUUUGUCUUGUUCUUGUUGUUUUGCUUUUCUUCCUUUAGCCUGCUGGGCUUUGUAGUGUAUAUUUUGUGAAUGAAAUGAAAAGGAGAUUUUGUGUUACCUCAUCCAUGUAUUGCAUUAAAUCGUCGUCUGUCGAACUUCUUUUGUCUCUUGACUUGUUCGACGUCCUUGACUUGUUCGACGUCGGUGUCGUUCGGAGGUGCCCAGUCGUCGCCACGUUGAUUUGCUUUUCUUGUUGUCCAUGGCCGUAGGCUCGAGCUCGUGGUCUGAACUUCACAUUAGUCAUGUCGAGAGUCUUCUUAGAGAUCGGAGAUGUUCGGUAGGAGCUCCUGUCUUUGUUGAGAUGAAGUUCCCUAUGUUUUUGGUGUAGUUUAUUUUUCAUCUGUUGCCGAUGUAGUUCGUCGCUUUCCUUUUUAAUUUUUCUCCUCUUUUCUGAGUGAGGGUCCUCCCCUUGCUUUUUGCGGGGUCGCGUAGAGGUGUA
This 649-nucleotide long non-coding RNA is filed under the name Elaeis guineensis (African oil palm). RNAcentral describes it as "long non-coding RNA (EGUI_LNC081210)". Lineage: Eukaryota; Viridiplantae; Streptophyta; Magnoliopsida; Arecales; Arecaceae. The record is from RNAcentral.